ACUCCUACGGGAGGCAGCAGUAGGGAAUCUUCCACAAUGGGCGCAAGCCUGAUGGAGCAACACCGCGUGAGUGAAGAAGGGUUUCGGCUCGUAAAGCUCUGUUGUUAAAGAAGAACACGUAUGAGAGUAACUGUUCAUACGUUGACGGUAUUUAACCAGAAAGUCACGGCUAACUACGUGCCAGCAGCCGCGGUGAUACGUAGGUGGCAAGCGUUAUCCGGAUUUAUUGGGCGUAAAGAGAGUGCAGGCGGUUUUCUAAGUCUGAUGUGAAAGCCUUCGGCUUAACCGGAGAAGUGCAUCGGAAACUGGAUAACUUGAGUGCAGAAGAGGGUAGUGGAACUCCAUGUGUAGCGGUGGAAUGCGUAGAUAUAUGGAAGAACACCAGUGGCGAAGGCGGCUACCUGGUCUGCAACUGACGCUGAGACUCGAAAGCAUGGGUAGCGAACAGGAUUAGAUACCCUGGUAGGAUAGCG
This 473-nucleotide ribosomal RNA is filed under the name uncultured bacterium. Its description in RNAcentral is "bacterial SSU rRNA". It matches the Rfam family "Bacterial small subunit ribosomal RNA", at positions 335 to 801 of the family's 1533-position model. The record is from RNAcentral.